Molecule: unclassified non-coding RNA, 302 nt
Filed under: Hevea brasiliensis (rubber tree)
Lineage: Eukaryota; Viridiplantae; Streptophyta; Magnoliopsida; Malpighiales; Euphorbiaceae
Source: RNAcentral
AGGCAUCAACAUUAAUUUUAACACUUCCCAAAACAGGGGGAAUCAAACCUUUGUGAUUUUGGCUAAUAUGAGCCUGAGCAAAAAGAGGGGAGAAAUGGAUUGGAGAGUCCAGCACUUGCAAUUUCAUAUAACCCUUGCGAGCCUUCCUAAUGACAGUUAUAGGAUCCGGCUGCUUAGAUUCAAACACCAAUUCGUUCCUUGGUUUCUAGAUAUGCCAGCAUAUAAAACUAGCAAUUCUAAUUUCAACAAAAUCUGAAGAUCCAAUUUGUAUAAAAUUAUGGAGCCAAUGCGUUAUAGAAAUU